RNAcentral lists this long non-coding RNA (4975 nucleotides) under Prunus dulcis (almond). The stretch from base 708 to 795 matches the Rfam family "Small nucleolar RNA R11/Z151". Lineage: Eukaryota; Viridiplantae; Streptophyta; Magnoliopsida; Rosales; Rosaceae. The record is from RNAcentral.
UCUCUUCUCUUCCCUUCAGUUUUUCAUUUCUUCUUCUAUUUUGACCUAACGGCUGUGCCUGUGCUGUGGCUGCUCAAAUCUUCAAUCCAGAGCUGCACCUCUGCUGCGGCUGUGCCUGUGCCGCUUCCUCAUCGAUUUCACGAUCUCCCGCCCAGGCCUAGGUAUCAUCCCUUCUCUCUCUCUCUCUCUCUCUCUCUCUCUCUCUCUCUCUCAAGUCGACCUCAGCCUAACCCACAUCACCCCUCUCUGUUUCAGGCACACACAACACAAACCCGAUCAAGAGCCGCCACAACCACCUCCAUUGCCGAAGGUAAAUUCUCUCGUCUGUGCAUUGUAGGGUUUUUAUUUUUAUUUUUUUUUUGCUUUGAAAUUUAUACCUAUAUCAGAAUGAUAUAUGCUAUGGGAGCUAUGGGAAGUGUUUUCUGUUAAAUCAGAAGUGUGCGGUGAUGAGGCUAUUUGUGGACUAGAGUUUAUGAUCUGGGUUCUUCUCCCAAAAGUUUGAUUACAAACCCUUGGCUGUCUGAGCACUCUUAAUCUGUUUUCUCUUAUCUUCCAAUCUGUAGUUUUGAAAAGUGCUUUGUUCCAAAGUCACCCGUAUAAUCUUUUUGACUUUCUGGCAAAACCCAUAAAAAUUUUCUCAAAUUUAUUGGCUUUUUUUUUUUUGCUGUAAAAUUGUUCUUGUUUGGUAGGGUUUAUAUGGCAGUAUGGAGCUUAUGAUGAUAAUUUUUAAAUAUCUUAGCGGAUUUCAGUGAGACCUUAGGGUGAAUGAUCUGAUUGUUACACACACUGAGGCUCAAAUUUUAAUUAUUUUUCCUUCAAAUUUUCACAGUAGUUUUGGUUUGGUUUAAAGCGUGCAAAUCUUGAUUUGUUGGGUUGUGGUUUGCGAUGAUGAGAUGAAACACUGGACGUGUUUUGGGCAGUGGACAAGCUCAUUCUUACAAAACGACUUCUCCUUCCACUGAGCUCCAUUCCCACAUAAUCAAGUUUUAAAUUUAAUCUAGUAAAAUUGAAAACCAAAUUGUAUAUAUCAAAAUGAUAUAUACCUAUAACAGAUUUGUGGCACACACUUCCCAAAAACUGCCCAUCUAAACCAUUCUUAGAUUCUGGAAGUUGGCCUGCUUUCCCUUUGGCAAAUUCCAGUAAAUUUGAGAGAUUAUUUUGGGAGCUCUCAUUUAGGAUCGAUAGCCCUUGAUUUUGCAAGCAGCAGAUCUGUGUCCACAUCUCCUUAUCUAGCUUAAGGGUCAAAGCACCAUGUGUAUAUUCUCAUGCCUAAGAGAAUCAACUUCAAGCUUUGUAUUAAUUUUUUUUUUUUUGAAUGAUUUAUGGUUACAUAAGUUUUAAAUUGUGUGGCUUUUGAGACUGUUUUGAUUUGAGCAUGAAAGAAAUUUGGUUUGAAUUUUAGGGUUUUUGUAGAGCAGUGGGUAUUUUAGGGUAUUUGGUUUGAAAUUGGUUUGAAUUUAUGAAAGGAAUGAAGCUUGUUUGUAACCUAACCCUAGUUUUGUUUUGAUUCACAGUUGUUUUGCAUUUCUGCUGCUGUGAGCUUUGAAAGUAUCGGAAAUUUUGCUUAAAUGGAGGUAAAUUGCUUCUAACCCUAUUUUUGUUUUGUUUUGAGUUAAUAUGUAAUCUGUAAUCUGCAAUCUGUUUUGUUUUAAUAUGUAAUCUGUAAUCUGUAAUCUGUUUAGUUUUAAUAUGUAAUAUGUAAUCUGCUGCUAUAAUCUAUAAUCUGUUUUAUUGAUUCUGUGUGUGUUUUAAAUCCGUUUUGACUUUUUUUAAAUAUGUUUUUUUGGAUAAUAUACAUGUUGUCAUCUGUUUAUGGAUAUGAAAGUCUGUUUUCACAGUUUAAAUCUGUUUGUUUGGAUAAUAUAUAUGUUUUAAUCCAUUUAUGGAUAGGAAAGUAAUAUUUAGGAGUGAUUAAAUCUGGUAAUUGGAUUGUAUCUGUUUUAGUCUAUUUAUGGAUAGGAAUACUUUGUUUUGACUCUGUUGAAAUCUGGUUUUUGGAUAGAAUAUAUGUUGAAAUCUGGUUUUUGGAUAGAAAAUUCUGUUUUGACUCUGUUUAAAUUUGGUUCUUGGAUAGGAUAUAUGUUUAGAGAGUUGUAUGGAUAGGAAAAUCUGUUUUGACAGUUUACAUGUGUUUUAUAUAUUAUAGGAUAUAUGUUUUAAUCUGUUUAUGGAUAGGAAAACUUUGUUUGACUGUGUUUAAAUAUAUUUUUAAUUUGUUUAUGGAUAGGAACCAGCUUCUAUUGAGGCUCAUUUGCCUGGGAAUGAUGAUUCUAUACCAUGUAGUGAUGCUGUUGUACCUCCAACAGCGUCACAAAAUCCAACACCAUCACCAUUAGAACCUAGUACCGGGAAAAGGAAACCUUGUAAGAAGGAGAGUGAUGUGUGGGAACACUUUGAAAAGUAUGAUUUGGUAUCGGAGUUGAAAGGGGUAGAUGGGAGUAAAAGAAAAGAAGUUGAAAAAAGGGCUAAGUGCAAGUAUUGUAGUGCUACUUAUGCUAGUGAUACCAAGAAAAAUGGGACUAGCAACAUGUGGAAGCAUCUAAACAAACAAUGCUUGCAUUAUCCUUAUAGGCACAAGGAUAAGAACACACGGACGCUCGCAUUUGAUGCUUCCAAGGGUAAUGCUCUUGUUUCUAGGAAUUUUAACAAAGAUGAUUGUUUGGAUGCUUGUAUUAGGAUGGUGGUUCGAGAUGAGCUACCUUUUAGCUUUGUGGAGGGUGAAGGGUUUAGGGAAUUUUGUAGUGUUGCAUGCCCACAAUUUAAUCCACCCUCUCGUAGAACUCUUGGAAGAAGAUUUCUAGAAAUGUACACAAAAAUGAAGGAGAAGUUGAAAGUUGACAUUCGUUCACAUAGAAUAUGCCUUACAACCGAUACUUGGACAUCGGUUCAAAAUGUGAAUUACAUGGUGUUGACUGCCCACUUUGUGGAUUCCGACUAUAAAAUGCACAAAAGGAUCCUAAAUUUUUGUGUAAUUGAUAGUCAUAAGUGGGAGAGCAUUGGGAAAUUGCUUGAAAAUUGUUUGAUUGAUUGGGGACAUGAGAAGAUACUUACAAUUACAGAUAAUGCAGCUGCCAAUACUAAGGCAAUUGAAUAUGUGAGGAAGAAAAUAAAUGGGUGGAAAGAUUCGAAUAGUGUGUUAGGAGGAGUUCACAUGCAUAUGAGGUGUAGUGCUCAUAUAAUCAACUUGAUAGUUAAGGAGGGUUUGAAGAGAUUAGAAAGCUCAAUUGUGGCAAUCCGUAAUGCGGUCAAGUUUGUGAGGUCCUCACCUUCUCGGUUGAGUUACUUCAAAAUGUGUGUUGAGACGGAAAAAAUAGAGUGCAAGGGGUUGGUGGUGAUGGAUGUGCCCACUAGGUGGAACUCCACUUAUUUGAUGCUUGAUGCGGCAUUGAAAUUUCGAAAAGCUUUUGAUAGAAUGGGGGAUGAUCCCGAUUCUUCCUACUUAAUGUACUUCAAGGAAGAGGAAGGAGAUGACGAGAGAUUUGAAGACAUUGAAGGAAGUGGGAAAGGGAAGGGAAAGUCUAAGACUAAUAAGAGGGUGGGUCCACCUAGUGAUGAAGAUUGGGAAAAAGCCGUGACAUUUGUGAUGUUUUUGAAGACCUAUGAUGUUACUUUGAAAAUUUCAGCUUCUUUGCAUCCAACAUCACACUCAACCUUCCAUGACUUGCUUGCCAUAGAUGGGGAGAUUCGGGAGUUGUAUAGAUAUGAUGUUACAAUUCCUAUUGAAGAAUGGACAACCAUGGAUACUCUUUUAAAUGAUAUGGCGGCUUCAAUGAAGAAGAAAUAUGAUAAAUAUUGGGGUGAACUUCAUAAAGUGAACCCAUUCUUGAUGAUAGGAGUUGUGAUUGACCCCCGAUUCAAGCUUCACAAUUUGAAGCACAUCUUUGAAGAAAUAUUUGAAAAUGAUCCUACUUGUGAUAGAUUGGUGGCUCAAAAGACAAAUGAGGUGAAACAACUUCUUAUGAAUAUGUAUGAAGUGUAUAAGCCUAGUAGUAACAAUAUGGGUGCUACUAGUACUACCAAUGAGAGUGGUGGUAGUACUAACAAUGAAAGCGACUCUUCUUUGGUUUUUGGAGGUCGUAAACGAAAAACCAUGAUGGAAAAGUGGAAAAAAAUUCAACAAGAGAGUGAGAAUGUGGUUAUAACACAUGAAGUGGAUAGGUACUUGUUGGAUCCACUUGAAUCCAUUGAUGAGGAGUUUGAUAUACUAGGGUGGUGGAGAAUAAAUGGGCUCAAGUAUCCUACUUUGGCAUCAAUUGCAAAGGAUGUGCUUGCAAUCCCUACUUCCACAAUAGCUUCGGAGUCUUGUUUUAGCACAAGUGGGAGAGUGAUUGACUCGUUUCGAAGCUCAUUGUCUCCUAGGAUGGUUGAGGCUUUGAUUUGCUCUCAAAAUUAGAUAAGGUCCGAAGAUAUAUCUUCAUUGCAAUAUGUGCCAAGCAUUGAGGAGAUGGAGUUCUAUGAAUCAAUUGAAAUGGGUAAUAUUUUCAUUUCUAUAAGUAUAUUUGAAUCCGAUUAUUUUCUUAUUUUUAUGUGUUCUAACUCAAAUUGGUUUGAUUUAUUUUAUUAUAUUUUGUAGAAAUGGGGAGUAAAACAUCCAUGACAAAUUUGAAUAAGACUCUCCCUUCUUAGUGUGAUUAAGAUAUGUUGGAAGGUAUUUUUAUUGCAUCUUAUUUUAAUUAUGAUUUGUUGAUGGUGAAACAUUGUGUUAAUUCUUUUAAGUGUUGUGUAGGUUGCUUUGUGAAGGCUUUUGGAAGAAUGGAUGCAGCAUAUUUUUUGCAAGGAUAUUAUUCUAUGUGUAUUUUUGUGAUGGGUUGUAAUCUUUAAUGUCAUAAGUUUAAUUUGGUUUGUGUAUUAUUUUUUGUAAUGGUUUGUAAGAGAUUAUAUUUCCUUUCCUUGGUUGGUUGGUUGAAUGUGUGUAUGUGAGAUUUAUUUAGUUUAGAAACUUAGAUUGGAAUGAUGGAUUUUUAUAGCUUGAAUG